UACCAGCACCCCGAGUGGUCGGGACGAUUAUUGGGCCUAAAGCAUCCGUAGCCGGCCUUACAAGUCCUCCGUUAAAUCCAGCUGCUUAACAGAUGGGCUGCGGAGGAUACUAUAAGACUAGGAGGCAGGAGAGGCAAGCGGUACUCAGUGGGUAGGGGUAAAAUCCGUUGAUCCAUUGAAGACCACCAGUGGCGAAGGCGGGUCUCUGGGCCGAUACUGACGCUGAGGAGCGAAAGCGUGGGGAGCGAACAGG
RNAcentral lists this ribosomal RNA (253 nucleotides) under uncultured bacterium. RNAcentral describes it as "partial 16S ribosomal RNA". It matches the Rfam family "Archaeal small subunit ribosomal RNA", at positions 474 to 727 of the family's 1478-position model. The record is from RNAcentral.